Long non-coding RNA from Musa acuminata AAA Group (dessert banana), 1569 nucleotides. RefSeq lists it as uncharacterized. The transcript has 4 exons. The record is from RefSeq and is a predicted model, not a curated record. NCBI's taxonomy places the organism in Eukaryota, Viridiplantae, Streptophyta, Magnoliopsida, Zingiberales, Musaceae.
UGGAACGAUACAGAGAAGAUUAGCAUGGCCCCUGCCCAAGGAUGACACGCACAAAUCGAGAAAUGGUCCAAAUUUUUUUUCGCUCUCGGCAUUCUUUCCUUGUUCGAUCGCGAUCGGGCUGCUCUUCUUAUGCUCUUUUGUUCUUUCUUGCUUCGCGUUCUUCUGCUCUCUCUGUCCCAAAAUCUUCAUCUUUUUCUCGUUCUUUUCCUUCUUAUUUCCUUGAUCAAGGCACAGGGAGGAAGAAAGCUGCUUCUUCGGAGUGCGGUCGUGUUCCUUGUCCUCGUUGGUCAGUCCAUGGACGCUGGUCCUCUUCCUCGCUCGCUGAUCCACACCAAUGCGGACGCCUCCGUAGAAUCAAAUCGCAUGAUGAAAGCGCAUGAUGUGCUGCCCUUGGUCCGAAGCGCCGCUGCGAGGAAAAAGAUUGUCCGACAUCACCAACACGGUGAGUUCGGGGACGGCCGGAAUGAUGGGUGCCGAUGUCGAUCGAGGUAACUCCAAUGUGAUUUCUUGCCCGAUCUCCAAAGAUUGCAUCGUCCAGCUCAUGAAGGAAAAUACUGCCUUGUUGAACCUUCUUGCAGAAAAUAAGUAUGUAAAUUGUAGGAGGCACCAGUGAUGCAGAGGUGACCAAGAAGAAGGAAAUAAUUUGGGCCCAACAUGAAGUGAUCUUGAGUUGGAUCCUUACAGCCUGCUCAAGAGAAAGUUGCAAGAGAUCCUUGAAUUCUUCAGGCCAUUAGCACUACUUGAUGGUUCCUUCAGAGGGAUACCACCAAUAUCUGAAAGGGAUCUUCGAUUGAGAAAUAUAUACAGACAAACACACAAAUGUAUACAUUAAUAUUAGGAAAAAUAAAACAGAGACAGGGAUGGAGAAGAAUGGUUCUGCAAUCUGCAAGCAAGUUUCUCAAAAGCAAACCAAAAUUAGAACUUAUGAUGAGCUGAGUUGUUUCAAUCUAUCCAGGGAGAAUCAGAUUGUGGCCCAAUUCUAAAAGGCAAGACAAAUGGUGGUGUUUCAUGCCCCAACAAUGGCGGUCGUCAUUAGAUCGAGUGUGAUGCUGAAUGGUUGAAAUGUUGGAGUCAUCGAACAGCACUACACACCCAUGCUAACUAGAAGUUCUUGUCACCAGCAGAUUCAGGUACUAACUAUGAACUAAUUGAGGUGGAGAGUGUGCAUCUUAGGAGUUAGCACAUGCAUGGCUAUGAUACCAUGAGACUUCAUUCGAAAGCCAUGCCUAAAUCCUUCAUAAUCAAGAUCAUAUCCUGUAAUUGUCAGUCCAUUGAAGUGUUCCUUCAGCAACUGUGAUUACUUCUGAGGCUGGCAAAUUCCACUGGAUCGAACAGUUUUCACUGUGACAAAAGCAGAUCAAGGCUUGAAGAUUGCAUCUCAAGAAAUCUUUUUCUUUUGAUAGCUUUAAAGGUCUUAAUCCUAAAGACUGGUCUUCAAGCAGCAAUGUGAUUGAUUCUCUAUGUUUGUUGGAAGGCUUGCAUCUCAGAAAAAGACUGAAAGAGGCUGCCUCCUUUUAUUCCUUGAUCUCAUUAAAGGCGCAUUAUACUUGCUGCAUUGGUUUUCCUUCA